Molecule: unclassified non-coding RNA, 423 nt
Filed under: Chamaecostus subsessilis
Lineage: Eukaryota; Viridiplantae; Streptophyta; Magnoliopsida; Zingiberales; Costaceae
Description: partial external transcribed spacer
Source: RNAcentral
CCCAUAUUUCGCCAAUAUAAUACGCUGCAUCCGCAAGCACUCAUGCCACCCAUUGCACCACUUUGAGAUGUAGUGAGUGUAAACCCACAUAAUCAUCCUAGGGGCCAUAAGCAACACUAUGUAGCCACUCCCGUACCGCACUGGACGGAGGGAGAGGGAAAAAGAAGAUGAUAUCGAGUCACAUUUCGUGACAGACUACGUAGGCAACACAGGCAAAGCAUAAGACCCUAAUAACAUCAUUGGGUCGUAUAAUGAGGAGAUGCAGUAAGGACGGUUGGGAGCACAAGGCACAGAGCCCACCCUUACAAGCAAAUGUCAUACAACUUAUGCAUCGACACGGUCAUUCUACCAUUCAUCACCCCAUCGCCCAUAUGCAUGAUAGCGCAAAUGAGUCAAAUGAAAUAGUUAAUAGUAGAACUCCGC